This 305-nucleotide ribosomal RNA is filed under the name uncultured bacterium. Its description in RNAcentral is "bacterial SSU rRNA". It matches the Rfam family "Bacterial small subunit ribosomal RNA", at positions 335 to 632 of the family's 1533-position model. The record is from RNAcentral.
CAUCCUACGGGACGCAGCAGUGGGGAAUAUUGCGCAAUGGGCGAAAGCCUGACGCAGCGACGCCACGUGAGGGAUGAAGGUCUUCGGAUCGUAAACCUCUGUCAGCAGGGAAGAACGGUCACUGUGCUAAUCAGCAGUGAAUUGACGGUACCUGCAAAGGAAGCACCGGCUAACUCCGUGCCAGCAGCCGCGGUAAUACGGAGGGGGCAAGCGUUGUCCGGAAUGACUGGGCGUAAAGGGAGUGUAGGCGGCCUUGUAAGUUAGAUGUGAAAUCCUACGGCUUAACCGUAGAACUGCAUCUAAAA